Molecule: transfer RNA, 61 nt
Filed under: Urocitellus parryii (Arctic ground squirrel)
Lineage: Eukaryota; Metazoa; Chordata; Mammalia; Rodentia; Sciuridae
Also listed under: 1 other name
Description: Spermophilus parryii (Arctic ground squirrel) tRNA
Rfam family: tRNA
About the family: Transfer RNA (tRNA) molecules are approximately 80 nucleotides in length. Their secondary structure includes four short double-helical elements and three loops (D, anti-codon, and T loops).
Source: Rfam by way of RNAcentral
UGUGGCUCAAUGGUAGAGUGCUUGCCUAUCGUGUAUGAGGCCCUGGGUUCAAUCCCCAGCA